UAAAUUUAAAGAUUCCUUUUUCCGGUGCACUAACAAGUAAUGUGCAAGUAUUAAAUUAUAAAUAAACAGCAUCACCCAAUCUCCAAUCGGUAUUUUAAUUUGUUACUAAUCAAUUUUUGUGGUUGAUAAACUUACAGGGGGAUGGCCCGAUGCACCUGGUGGAGAAUAUGCUUGGGGAUAUUGCUAUAUUAGGCAAGUUAGCCAUGGGUCCGACUACUGUUAUCCUUACUGUCCAUGUCCCUUGCCAGGGCAAUACUAUGGCCGAGGUCCAAUUCAACUCACUUGGUAGGCUGAACAUUUUGAAUUAGUAUAUCAUUGUCUGAUCUGAAUGAGAAAGUCUUGCCCUCUUGAAUUGAAAACUUGUUAAAUGUGCAUUUACAUUCUAUCCAACAUUAAUUAUUCACUAACUUGUUCGUGUACAGGAAUUGCAAUUACUUAAGGUGCGGAGAAGCCUUGGGGGUGGACUUGUUGAACAAUCCAGACCUUCUUGCCACUGAUCCAGUACUAUCAUUCAAGUCAGCAAUCUGGUUCUGGAUGACUGCACAGCCACCAAAGCCAUCGUGCCACGAAGUCAUUAUCGACGAAUGGAAACCAUCAGCAAAUGACGUAAACGCCGGCCGGCUUCCGGGAUACGGUCUAACCACAAAUAUAAUCAACGGUGGAAUUGAAUGUGGCAAAGGUUGGGAAUGACGCUGUACGUAACCGUAUUGGGUUCUUUACCACUUUCUGUGGCAAGUUUGGGAUUCAGCCUGGUGACAAUCUUGAUUGCUCCAACCAACGGCCUUAUGGCCUUAAUCUGAUGGCACAAUCUAUGUGAUCAUCAUGAUCAACGUUUUAGUAAAAUAAGCUUAAUAAAAGCUACUUAAUAAAAACUUUAGAUGUCACACUUCUAGGUGGACAACUAAACUGUUACGCUCUUAUUGUAAGUAAAUUAAAUAAGACUGAUCCAACAUGGAUCAAUGAGUCUUCUCCAUCUUUCAUCGUUUGAUUAUUUUAACAUGACAAUUAUUUGCAACGCAAAAAGUGCCGUUGACACUUAUCCUGCCUAUACAGAUAAAGGCAAUAUCCAAUUCUGUAAGCCACAUGCAUAUUCAACGGCAUUGCUAUUCAUCAUCAUGAUGCUCAUUGUGGUAGAGAUUAUAAAAUUUUGAUUAGGUCUGCUAUCCAACGUGGCUUGUCUCUCACUUGGAGGAAAUGCCUGGCAAACGAGUCAUGCAUGCAUCAAAUCAUUAUGAAGUUAGUACGCGUAUUGCUGCAGAAAUCACCCUACUACAAAGACAGCUAGAACAUUUUUGGAUACCUAAGCCCUGGGAAGUUAGUCUACCAUGUGGAUCUCAAUAAUAGAUAAUACUUUAUCAUAUAGUAGGCGACAAUAGGAAACUUCACAACAAUGAUUUCUAUUUUAAAAUUGCAUACAAUUUGCCAUAAACAAAAAUAAGGGGUUCUCUAAGAUGUUUGAACCAAUGAUUUAAUGGGGAAAAGAAUCUGAAGAAUUUACAGUUAAGUUUCACCUGUUCAUCCUACGCAUUCAUUUAUUUUUACUUCAAAGAAGGCGAAAUGAUAAUCAAGUAUCAUCUAGCAAUAUUUAAGAGUGAAAGCAACCGAUACUGAGAUGGAAGAAAGGUGAUAUACCAGACAAACAAUUUGUUUUUUGUAUAUAAUUUCAUUUCUAUAGGAUGAUACAGGUAUAUUUCAAUCAUUUAUAAGUAUGACAAUAAAAUUUGUAAUCUAAUUGUUGAGGAUGUUGAGAAAGGAGACUCUAGCUUUGAUCAAACGCCUAGACAAGGAUUAAAGGCCUUCUUCAAGAUCUUGGAUGCUGGACUCCAAUUCUUUGAGCUGGUUUUGCAAAUAAACAGUGUUAACAGAUUUGAGUGUCAAUGCGGCAUCCACCUUCUCAAACUCAUUCGUUUCUAUCUUGACUUCCUCACAAGCUAUUCUUUUGGGGCGGAUGAGUUUGGAAGCCAAUACAAACCCACUUAGCUUUGAUGGAAUCCCAGCACCCGAGAUAAAGGACAGCAAGGAUCCAAAUGCAGCUAAGGUUACUGCUUCAACCUCUUUCAACGCGCUAACAUGUUCCUCAUUGAUUAGAGAAGAGCAUUUGUUUCCCAUGCCUUGUCAAUUCGCCAAGGCCUUGUGGACUUCCUGUUUUACUGCCUUCCUAGAGGCUAUGCAUUUCUUAACCUCAGUUGCAAGUUCAAUUUCAUCUCCUCCUCUUCUGCGCAGAACUGAUUGAAGUCCUUGUGUAGAUUCCUUAAUCUGCAAGAGAGCAUUCUGAGCAAUGCUGCUAGUUUCCAAGAUCCUCAAAGAUCCAUUCAAAAGGUCAUCAACCCAUUUCUUAUGCUGGCCUUGGGCUAAAGCUUGUUGAACAAGAGGCAGUUGAAGCAUUUUAUCAACAGAAUCAUGUAAAUCUUGAAGGCCAUUUAACUCGUGGGCUAUUGAUGAAGAUAAUGAAGUAGAAGCAGCUUGAGAAUACCUUAAUCUUCUCAAAUUCUCUCCAACAUCUGAAGUGAGAGGGUGUGAUCUUGUGGGAAAGCUGUUUGAGCGAGUAUGGUAAGAGGCAGCCAUUUUUCCUUGCUGUGUAUGAAAAGACUGGAAGUUGAUUGUCAAAAUUCAAUCUAGCUCUUUUGCCUUCAUUCGGUUAACAAAUGCUAUAUAUAUAUAUAUAGACUGAGAUGAUGGGAACAAGAGGAAUCUCAUCCUCUAACAUGAUUUAGAUCUUGAUCUUAACAAUAUAUCACCUAAUUUUAUGCAAUGUCUCCUCCCACUAGCUACCCAUUUCAUUUUUUAUUCUACAAAUCACAGUAGCAUCUCUUUAUAAGCUAAUACUAUAUGGAAUUAAUGGUUCUUUGAGAUCCAUACAAAUUUGCAACGCAUGAAUGAAUUUGACUCUGUCACCUCGAAUGCAUACAAAAGAAUGCAAUACAGCUUGGCUUGCCUCCCUCUCCCUGUAGGAUAUAAAAUUAUGUUGCCGUAGGCUUUUCACAAUAUGGCUCGUUUCUCGUCAUCUACGAAAAUUAUUCAAUGUCCCUCUCCUUCCUUUCUUUCCUUUUUUUUUUUUUUUGGUUAUAAUUUUAAGUCCUUAUGCUUGAAGCCUUUUUGUUGAGCGUUCAUUUAUGCAUUUCUUCACACAUCUAUUUCCAUCAAUAGCUUUUUGUGCAAGUGCCUCGAUUAGUAAGCUAUAUAUUACACACUCUUUCAGGGUGGCUGCUUUUACACAAACCUUGCCUGGUGAAUUAGGUUGUUCCUCUCAAAAUGAUGAAAACUUAUCCCUCCACAUCUCACUGGCUGACCUCAUCCAUGUUGGUGAUCAUGACACUGAUGAAAAGAUACAGGUUAUACUUUAUUUAUAGCUAGAGUUGUCUGUUUGAAUUUUAUCAAAAUACAAGCUUCUGCUUUCCAGUUAGCAUAAAACAGGGCACAAAAUUCUCUUGGCCAAAAGGAAAUAUAGGCAGACUGAACAGACAUCAUGCUUACAUUAAUGUCUAAAAUCAAGGUCACGAAAUCGAUCCGCAGCUAUUUGACACCAAAAAUGUCACUUGGAUGCAUAAACAAUUUACUCUUAUAAGCUCCAUGAACAACUCCCAAAAUGGGCCAAAAAAAAAAAAAAAAAUCAAGAUAAACUUUUAUAUCUUACAAAGCAUGUCACAAACAUUACAGAAAUUGACAAACAAAUCAACAACAUUACAACACGUGUAACUAUUAUAAUUCUAAUUUUACCGAUUGAAGCGGUUUGUAGCCGGUUGAAAAAAGUAAGUCGGGAAGAUGAAUAAUUUCUCCUACAGCCAUUGCAACCCAAAGCGACAUGAUUUCUUCGAUCUCGCAUUCUGAGGAAACUUCCUACUUGCGCAUAUCCGCCCGCUCCGAGCGAGAAAACGAACAGAUCGAGGUCGGAAUGAGAUCCGGUGUUUUCACGUCUCACCGUAGUGCCCGGUUUGGCGGUUCAGCUUGCUUCUACGGCUCAUGUAUGAACAGCAAAACUCAUGCAGAUUGACCUGGAUGAUCCUUGGGGUUACUUUUUGAUUUUUAUGAAGAGUUUUAUCCGAUUUGUUGACAAAUAACUCAAAAAAGAAUCCCUUGUAAUUUUGAUGUGGACUAAUUGGGGAGCAAGAAAGGGUGUGCUUUUUAAAAGAUGAAGAUGCAGAGAAGGUUUUUUCUAAAGCCAAAGCCACUUCACCGUUUGUGCUGAGAGUAGUCAUCAAUGAGGUAUUAAUUUUUAACUCCAUUGAUGCAAGCUCCAAGGAACUUUUCAUGGUCGCCUGCCCCUGAAUAUUUGUAUAAAUUAAAUCUUGAAGACGUAAUGUUUGAUCAUAAAUCAAGGGGCAGGAGUUGGUGCUAUUAUAAAAAUAAAAAAUAAAAAAAAUUCAUAGUUGCUGUGAAAACCAGCUUUAAUGGCACUGAAUCGAAUUACAAAAAGGAAAAUUUCUUGCCUCCUGAAUCGAAUUCAAACAGUAACUAUGAAUUUCUUGCUUUGACCCGGUGGCCCAAGCGGUUUUCUUUCACCAGUUUUCCCAGUUUCCCAUCACUUCUUUUUUUCUGUUCAUUUCAUUCCCAUUCGUUCGAUUUUAGUGUUCACAUCUAACGGCCCUCAUUCAUGCAAUGUUUGUUACAUGAUGAUGUAACUUAACCUGACCUUUUUUACAUUCUAUUUAUAAAAAUAAAUUCAUUAUUAAAAAUUAAAAAUAUCAAAAUUACUUUUUGCUAGCUAUUUUUUAUUUUGUAAUUACAUAUUCUCUCUCUACUUUUAUAUUAUAUAAAUUAAAUUCCCAACUUUACAUUUUUUUAAAUUUAUUUUUUUGACAUUUCUUAGUAUAUUCUAAUCUAUAUUCAUACUUUAUGUAUGCAAAAUAUUUUUUUCUUGAUACUUACUAACUUUUGUGUUUAGUAAAAUUAAUUUAUUGAUAUUCAUUAAUUUUCAUUACUUAUAAAAUUUGUUAAUAUUCAUUUUAAAAUAGUGGAUUUUUUAAACUAAUGAUAUCAAUUACUUGCGGUUAAAAUAAUAUAUAUAAAUAAAUUGAUGGAAUUUAUGAAAUUGAAAAGAAAAAGAGAAGAAAUAGUUAAUUAAGUAAUUUUAAAAAAAAUAUUCAAAUAAUAUAAUUGUUAAGCGGGGGCUAUUUGAACACACCAAUUUUCUCUCUACAUUCUUUUUCUAAUUGAGAAUUUUAUUAUCUAAAUAGUUUUCAGUAAAAUUACUUAAUUAACUCUUUCUUCUCUUUCUCAUCUCAAGUUCACAAAUUCCCAUCAAUCCAUUGAGAUAUAUUCUUUUAGUAACAAAUAAUUGAUAUCACAAACUAGGGAAAACAAAAUCCACAGUUUAAAUUAAAUGUCAACAAAAUUUUAUGAGUCAUGAAAGUUAAUAAAUAUCAAGAAAUUAAAUUUUACUAAACAGAAAAUUAAUGAACAUCAAGAAAAAGUUUUUAUAUAUAAAAAGUAUGAAAUAGAGGUCAUGAUCUAUUAGAAAAGACCAAAAAUGAAUUUAAAAAAUAGUGAAACUGAGUCUUUAGUUUAUAAAAUGUGAGAAUUUGCAAUUGUCAGGUAUAGAGAGAGAUUCAUGAAAGGUAAUCUUGAUAUUUUCAAAUAGUCCCAUCUAAUAUUUGAUUGGAAAGAGCGUGUGGACAGAAAAUUAGCGGACUCAAAUAGCCCCACUCUUUCUUUAAUUUCGCAUUGACCCCGAUUAUUUUGUGAUUUUCUCCUUUUAGUCAAUAUUAAUUGUUGUUACUGGAUUUUCCCCUGAGACCUAGAGCGAGCCCAUAACGUUCAUGCUCGAGGACUUCCCUGCCCCGAGAACCAAGCCCAAUAAUCUUGAGGCCUUUGCAGGUUUAUCCAGGAAAGGUGCCUCUGCUAGGAUAAGAAAAGUCAAUUCGGGUUGUGAGUCGAUCCUCAGCCUAGUAAGUGAUGACAGCGUACAGUAAUGAUCUUUGACAAACAUCAAAAGAUCGAUUAAUAUGAAAAUGACGAUGUGCUCGUUUUGCAUUUGUUAUUCUUCAGUCACAUCCUCUUUUGCUUCUGUCUGCCUUUACAACAACAAUUUACCAUCAACCUUCAAGCAUUCUUGCACAAACAGCCAAAAAAACACCAAAUAUCAUCGCCCCACUUGCCCUUGUUUAGUUUUUUUCAAGCUCACAGCCAAUCUCAGUACACUGGGAUAAAGACUAGAAGCAGAGAACAGCCGCUGCCAGCUCUAGAAGAUGUGAAAUAAAGAAGACCAUCAAAAUCCUUAAUUAUUGCUUGUCUAUGUCAAGGUUUUAAAGAUAAACAAUCUUGAUAGGCUUUCUUACGUAAGACAUAUAGAUCCAACGAAAAUUAGAUGAAACGUUUAGACACAAGACUUUUAACUUUGAUAUCGUAUAAAGAGUAUAUUUAUAAUAUAAUCUAUUGUUUGGCACAUCGUCUCUGAGUCUCAAUAAAAAAAUUUUAAGUUUUUCGUUGCUAGCUUCUUAAAUUUUCAUGUAUUAUACAUAAUAUAUUAUGAGUGAGGAGUCAUAAACUAAUGAAUAUGGAAACUUAGGAUAAAAAGUUUGAGAUUUUUUUAAAUAAUUUAUGUAGGUAUUUUAUUUUAUAGAAGUCCAUGGACUUACUCAAAUGCUAACUAAGACUUGAGGGUUGCCUAAACUUUUAUAUACCUAACCAAAAAUUUAUUAUCAAACAAUGUGAGAUAUUAUCCCUAACCCUUAACGGUGUGGAGUACAAUCCUUAAUAACAUAUUCCUUUGAAGAAAUUAAAAGAAAAAAAACUUAGUUCGGUAUUUCAAAAAGGGGAGAUUGCCAAAUUCUCUUUAUUGUUAUUGAUAUAUAUCAUUUACCCUCUUAACGGUUUUUAUAAUAGCCAAUAACCCCUUAACAACAUUAGUUUAUAAUAUUAUUCAUAUUUUCAAAUACACUUUUAUUUUUAUUUAUUAUAAAUUAAAUAAAUCAUAUGAAUAGAAACUGAAUAAAAAAUAAGUAUUAAAAACAAUAAAUAUAUGUUUUGAUGUGAACAAAAAAAUUAGUAAUAAAAUUUUUUCUUGUACUUUUUUAUUUUCUAAACAUUUUCUUCUAAUAAAUAUUUUGUAAAUUAUAAAAUUAAAUGUAAAAAGUACAAUAACAAUAUUUUAUUAUUUAUUUUAUAAUAAUUUUUUUAUCAUUUUAUAGUAAUUUUCUUAUAUAUUUAUUAUAAGAAAAUAUUUAUAAAAUAAAAAGUAUAAGAAAAAUAAUUUAUUAUUAAUUUUUAUAUCAAAAUAUAUAUUUCUUAUUUUUAAUACUUAAUUUUUUAUUUUAAUUUCUAUUCAUAUGAUUUAUUUAAUCUAAAAUAAAUAUGAAUAAGAGUGUAAUUAAAAAUAAGGGUAAUAUUAUAAAUUUAUACAAUUAAGAGAGUUAUUAGUUAUUAUAAAAAUAAUAAGAGACAAAUGUUAUAUAUCGAUUACAGUAUUGGGAAAAUUAGCAACCUCUCUUCAAAAAACCUUGACAUAUACGUUCUAUAAAUAUAACCCUCUAGCCAAAGCUGUGACAUACACCAAGCAGAGGAUAAUUGAUAUCAUAACUGUUGCUUUCAAAAUGAGGCUUAUUGGGUCCUUACUAAUUUUCUCUCUAGUUUUAUCUUUUGUACUAGGAGGCUCAGCACAGAACUGUGGAAGCGGCGUUGUGUACGGUGGACGUGAUACCGGCCAUGGGACGCAUGGCGGUGAACUGGGCAAGAUCAUCUCAAGGGAGAUGUUUGAUGACUUGCUUGAGUAUAGAAAUGAUGAACGAUGCCCUGCCAGAGGCUUCUACACUUAUGAUGCUUUUAUAGAGGCAGCCCAAGCUUUUCCAGGCUUUGGUAACUCUGGAAAUGAAACCAUGCGUAAAAGAGAAAUCGCUGCCUUUUUUGCCCAAACUGGCCAUGAAACUACUGGUUUGUUUCAAUUCCUGAUCAGCUUAAUUAAAUUUAAAGAUUCCUUUUUCCGGUGCACUAACAAGCAAUGUGCAAGUAUUAAAUUAUAAAUAAACAGCAUCACCCAAUCUCCAAUCGAUAUUUUAAUUUGUUACUAAUCAAUUUUUGCGGUUAAUAAACUUACAGGGGGAUGGCCCGAUGCACCUGGUGGCGAAUAUGCUUGGGGAUAUUGCUUUAUAAGCGAAGUUAGCCCUCCGUCCGACUACUGUGAUCCUAACUAUCCAUGUCGAGGGAAGUACUAUGGCCGAGGUCCAAUUCAACUCUCUUGGUAGGCUGAACAUUUUGAAUUAGUAUAUCAUUGUCUGAUCUGAAUGAGAAAGUCUUGGCCUCUUUAAUUAAAAACUUGUUAAAUGUGUAUUUACAUUCUGUCGAACAUUAAUUAUUAACUAAUUUGUUGGUGUUUAGGAAUUACAAUUACUUACGGUGCGGAGAAGGCCUAGGGCUAGGAGAGGAGUUGUUGAACAAUCCAGACCUUCUUGCUACUGAUCCAGUACUAUCAUUCAAGUCAGCAAUCUGGUUCUGGAUGACUGCACAGCCACCAAAGCCAUCGUGCCACGAAGUCAUUAUCGACGAAUGGAAACCAUCAGCAAAUGACGUAAACGCCGGCCGGCUUCCGGGAUACGGUCUAACCACAAAUAUAAUCAACGGUGGAAUUGAAUGUGGCCAAGGUGGGAAUGCCGCUGUACGUAACCGUAUUGGGUUCUUUACCACUUUCUGUGGCAAGUUUGGGAUUCAGCCUGGUGACAGUCUUGAUUGCUACAACCAACGACCUUAUGGCCUUAAUCUGAUGGCACAAUCUAUGUGAUCAUCAUGAUCAACGUUUUAGUAAAAUAAGCUUAAUAAAAGCUACUUAAUAAAAACUUUAGAUGUCACACUUGUAGGUGGACAACUAAAUUGUUAGUUUGUUACGCUCUUAUUGUAAGUAAAUUAAAUAAGACUGAUCCAACAUGGAUCAAUGAGUCUUCACCAUCUUUCAUCGUUUGAUUAUUUUUUUGAGUUUUUUUGUUAAAAUUUUGUACGUUUGUGGUUAGUUAUUUUAACAAAAUAAUUAGUCGAGAAAGGUAAAUGUUUUGGGGGUGAGAAAUACCACGAUCAGGCACACGAGGAGAAUGUGCUCCCUCUGCCUAGAAUGACUCCUUGAGGAAGAUUAGACCCGAUGAAGUGUGUGGCUGGUCACACGAGUAGAGUUGGCUCGAGACAUGCAAGGAGGGACCAGAACCAAGUCAAUUCGAAGACUUGGUCAAAGGUCAACCCGUGGGUUUCCUCCAAAGAAUUUGGGCACAAAGCUCACUCACCAGCAGUUACACUGCCCAUUCGCCCAUGGUUAUGUAAUCAACCCAUCAACGAAGUCGAGGGAGAAGAGGCUAAUAAUUCUGGUUGGAUAUGAAAGCUUCAGAGAACAGAGUUAAGGGAGUUAGACAACUUUUCAUUUAAUUUUCUCAUACUCUCAAUCUAUUCACAAUUUUAUCUUCUCUAUCAUUCUUUCUUUCUGAAAUAAAACCUUUCUUUUAUUUAGAGCAGUUUAAUUACGCCAUGGGAAUCGUGACCUAAGUUUUUCUAGGCAAACCCAAAUCGCUGACUUGAGCGUCGGAGGGAUUACGGUGGAAAAACCUCUAGCAUCUCCUGACUAGUUGUUGUGAACACAUGUGUUCUUGGAGGAAGUAUUUGAGGUCACAUGAACUUGUUCGAUACUGGGGAAGCUAGGGGCAGAUCCAGGAUUUUAAAGUACCCCGAGCUAAAUUUUUUAUAAAAAAAAGUUAUAUUGUAAAGUGAACAUAAAAUUUUAUAAGAAAAAAAUAAAAUACACAUAAUAAGAUGAGAACAUUAGAAAUCUUACACUAAAUAAUAAUUACUUUAAAUAAAAUAAUUAUAUAAAAAUAAAAAAUAAAAAUAUAAUUCAAAACAAAAAUAUAACUAAAGUUGUAUUUUUCGCAACUUCAAACAAUAAAGUUCAUCAAUUAUGGAUUUUGGAUCAAUAGUAUCUGCAAUUUCUCUUUCAGCAUAGACAACCAUACAAUUAGAAAGAAACUCAUUUUCUAUUUUAUUGCAAAGUGAUGUCUUGAUAAGGCUCAUGGUUGAAAAUGCAUGCUCUGUUUGUGGCUGCAAAUGAAAGGAAUUUCUUGACUUGGAUUUAUCGGACACAUUAUACCUAUAAAUUACCAUAACAUGAAACUACAUAAGAAUUAAUAAAUUAAUUAAUAAUUACAAGCUUAAUUAGCAUGCUUAAAUAAAUUAAACAAUUCAAUUUUUUUCAUCUUUUCUAUUUCUAAAAAAUAUUAUUAGUAAAAAAAUGAGAUGAAGAUUACACGAAAUUGCAGAUACUAUUAUUAGUAAACAAUUCACACUUGACUAACAUGCAAACAACACAUUGAGUCCUUGCCAAUUCCAAGACUUGCGAUAACCAGUUGCACAAUAUAUAAACAAAUUUUUAGAAAUACAAAUCAUGAAAUUUCCCCCCCAAAAAAAAAAAAAAAAAAUCCAAUUUGUAUUGAGCCAGCCAUUGUGAUUAAGCUUUCUAAAUUCUAAUAGCAUUUGAGUGAAUUUUAAAAAACGAUAUACCAGAUUAAACUUACUAAAAUAUUAAAAAAAUAGAAAAUCAAAUUACAUACGAAACCCUAGAUUGUUACUUCAAUCAAAAUAAGUACCUUCUAAUAAUUUUAAAUGCAGAUUUGAGAACUCAAAAAUACCACAAUUGAAUUCGAGUGUUAUUAAUUAGGGUUUUAAUGAGAAUGAAAAACACUGAGGAAACUGGGAACGUGCAGGAUAAAAAGCAUUACCAGUGGAAGCGUAAGAUAGAGAACGGCAAGUUAACGUGCGCCUCGAGGAAUAGAGAUAGAGAGAGAGAGAGAGACGAGCACCCCAAGCACUGUAAGUAACUGGGAGUGGAGAAAUGGCACGAGUGGAAAAUAAAGGGGUCGUUUGGUUUUGUCGUCUUCUACUUUUGUUUUGUGUUUUUUUUUUUUUUUAAAUGAGCGUGGGUAUCUGAAUCAUCCAAUUUUUUUUUAUAUUCUAUUUAUAAAAAUAAAUUCAUUAUUAAAAAUUAAAAAUAUCAAAAUUACUUUUUACUAAUUAUUUUUUAUUUUAUAAUUACAUAUUCUCUCUCUACUUUCACAUUCUAUAAAUAAUUUUUAAGUAAUUUUUUACAAAUCAUUCAGAUAAUAUAAUUUUUAAGAGUGAGGUUAUUUGAAUCCACCAAUUUCAUCUCUAUAUCUUUUUCUAAUUGAGAAUUUUAUUAUCUAAAUAGUUUUUAAUAAAAUUACUUAAUUAACCCUUUCUUCUCUUUCUUAUUUCAAUUUCACAAAUUCUCAUUAAUUCAUUGAGAUGUAUUCUUUUAACUGCAACUAGGAAAAAUAAAAUCCACAGUUAAAAUUGAAUGUCAACAAAUUUUUAUGAGUCAUGAAAGUUAAUGAAUAUUAAGAAAUUAAUUUUUAGUAAACACAAAAGUUAAUGAAUAUCAAGAAAAAGUUCUUAUAUAUAGAAAGCAUGAAAUAAAGGUUAUGAUCUACUAGAAAAGACCAAAAAUGAAUUCAAAAGAUAGUAAAAUUGAGUUUUUAAUUUAUAGAAUGUGAGAAUAAAAAGAGAAUAUGCAAUUGUAAGGUAUAGAGAAAGAUUAAUCGAGGAUAAUCUUGAUAUUUUCAAAUUUUAAAAUUUUAAUAAUGAAUUUAUUAUUUUUUAAAAAUAGGUAUAGAGAGAAAUUUGGUGGGAUCAAAUAGUCCCACCUAAUAUUUAAUUAGAAAGAUGGUGUAAGGAGAAAAUUGGCAGAUUCAAAUAGCCCUACUCUUUCUUUAAUUUUGCAUUGACCCCGGUUAUUUUAUGAUUUUCUCCUUUUAGUCAAUAUUAAUUGUUGUUACUGGAUUUUCCCCUGAGACCUAGAGCGAGCCCCUAAUGUUCAUGCUCGUGGACUUCCCUGCCCCGAGAACCAAGCCCAAUAAUCUUGAGGCCCUUGCAGGUUUAUCCAAGAAAGGUGCCUCUGUCAGGAUAAGAAAAGUGAAUUGGGGUUUUGAGUCGAUUUUCAGCCUAAUAACAGCGUACGGUCAUGAUCUUUGACAAACAUCAAAAGAUCGAUUAAUAUGAAAAAAUCCAUCACAAUAACCAUGUGUAUGAGUGUGAGUGUGAGUGUGAGUGUGAGCGUGAGUUAUUUUAAUUUCUAGGCAUUUAUUGAAUGAAAUUGACGAUUGCUCGUUUUGAAUGUGUUAUUUUUCAGUCACAUCCUAUUUUUGCUUCUAUCUGUCUUUACGACAAAAUUUUAUCAUCAACCUGCAAGCAAUCAUGCACAAGCAGCCAAAAAAAAACCUAUUAUCAUCGCCCCACUGGCUCUUAUUUUCAAGCUCAAAACCAAUCUCAGUACAUUGGGAUAAGGCGAGAUGCAGAGAACAGCCACUGCCAGCUCUAGAAGAUGUGAAAUAAAGAAGACUAUCAAAAUCCUUAAUUAUCGCUUGUCUAUAUCAUGGUUUUAAAGACAAACAAUCUUGAUGGGCUCUCUUACAUAAGACGUAUAGAUCCAAUGAAAACUAGAUCGAAACGUUUAGACACAAGACUUUUGCUUUGAUAUCAUAUAAAGAGUAUAUUUAUAAUACAAUGUAUUAUUGUUUGGCACAUUGUCUCUAAGUCUCAAUAAAAAAAUUUAAGUUUUUCGUUGUUAAGUUCUUAAAUUUCAUGUAUUAUACAUAAUAUAUUAUGAGUUGGGAGUCAUAAACUCAUGAAUAUGGAAACUCAGGAUAAAAAGUUUGAGUUUUUUUUUAAAUAAUUUAUUUAGGUAUUUUUUUUAUAGAAGUCCAUGGACUUACUCAAAUGCUAACUAAGUCUUGAGGGUUGCCUAAGCCUUUAUAUACCUAACCAAAAAUUUAUUAUCAAACAAUGUGAGAUAUUAUCUCUAACCCUCAAUGGUGUGGAGUACAAUCUUUAAUGACAUAUUCCUUCGAAGAAAUUUAAAAAAAAAAAAAAAAAAACUUGGUUAGGUAUUUCAAAAAGGGGAGAUUGCCAAAUUCUUUUUAUUAUAAUUAAUAUAUAUCAUUUACCCCCUUAACUGUUUUUAUAAUAGCCAAUAACUCCUUAACAACAUUAGUUUAUAAUAUUAUCCUUAUUUUCAAAUACACUUUUAUUUUUAUUUAUUAUAAAUUAAAUAAAUCAUAUGAAUAGAAACUGAAUAAAAAAUAAGUAUUAAAAACAAUAAAUAUAUGUUUUGAUGUGAACAAAAAAAUUAGUAAUAAAAUUUUUUCUUGUACUUUUUUUAUUUUCUAAACAUUUUCUUCUAAUAAAUAUUUUGUAAAUUAUAAAAUUAAAUGUAAAAAGUACAAUAACAAUAUUUUAUUAUUUAUUUUAUAAUAAUUUUUUAUUUAUCAUUAAAGUUUUCUUAUAAUAAUUUUUUUAUCAUUUUAUAAUAAUUUUCUUAUAUAUUUAUUAUAAGAAAAUACUUAUAAAAUAAAAAGUACAAGAAAAAUAUUUUAUUAUUAAUUUUUAUAUCAAAAUAUAUAUUUUAUAUUUUUAAUACUUAAUUUUUUAUUUUAAUUUCCAUUCAUGUAAUUUAUUUAAUCUAUAAUAAAUAUGAAUGAGAGUGUGAUUGAAAAUAAGGGAAAUAUUAUAAAUUUAUAUUAUUAAGAGAGUUAUUAGUUAUUAUAAAAAUAAUAAGAGAUAAAUAAUAUAUAUUUAUUACAGUAUAGGAACAAUAAAAUUCUUCAAAAAACCUUGACACAUACGUUCUAUAAAUAUAACCCUCUAGCCAAAGCUGUGACAUACACCAAGCAGAGGAUAAUUGAUAUCAUAACUGUUGCUUUCAAAAUGAGGCUUAUUGGGUCCUUACUAAUUUUCUCUCUGGUUUUAUCUUUUGUACUAGGAGGCUCAGCAGGGAACUGUGGAAGCGGCGUUGUGUGCCCAGGAGGGGAGUGUUGUAGUCGAUUUGGUUGGUGUGGCCUAACAACAGACUACUGUUGUGAAGGCUGCCAAAGUAACUGUAAUCAGGUUGUUUGCGGUGAAUGUGAUCCCGACGACGGGACGGCUGGUGAUGGCGGUGAACUGGGCAAGAUCAUCUCAAGGAAGAUGUUUGAAGACUUGCUUGAGUAUAGAAAUGAUAAACGAUGCCCUGCCAGAUGCUUCUACACUUAUGAUGCUUUUAUAGAGGCAGCCAAAGCUUUUCCAGCCUUUGGUAAUUCUGGAAAUGAAACCAUGCGUAAAAGAGAAAUUGCUGCCUUUUUUGCCCAAACUGGCCAUGAAACUACUGGUUUGUUUCAAUUCCUGAUCAGCUUAAUUAAAUUUAAAGACUCCUUUUUCCGGUGCACUAACAAGUAAUUAAAUUUUAAUUUGUUACUAAUCAAUUUUUGUGGUUAAUAAACUUACAGGGGGAUGGCCCGAUGCACCUGGUGGCGAAUAUGCUUGGGGAUAUUGCUUUAAUAGGGAAGUUGGCGCUGCGUCGUCCGACUACUGUGAUCCUAACUAUCCAUGUCGAGGGAAGUACUAUGGCCGAGGUCCAAUUCAACUCUCUUGGUAGGCUGAACAUUUUGAAUUAGUAUAUCAUUGUCUGAUCUGAAUGAGAAAGUCUUGCCCUCUUUUAUUAAAAACUUGUUAAAUGUGCACUUACAUUCUAUCGAACAUUAAUUAUUAACUAAUUUGUUG
RNAcentral lists this long non-coding RNA (14514 nucleotides) under Citrus maxima (pomelo). RNAcentral describes it as "long non-coding RNA (CMAX_LNC003264)". Lineage: Eukaryota; Viridiplantae; Streptophyta; Magnoliopsida; Sapindales; Rutaceae. The record is from RNAcentral.